AUUGUUUCUUGCUCCUGUGGCUAAGAUCUGGCUAAGAUCAGAUGUGGUGUCUGUACUUCUCAGUUUACUAUCUGAAACGACCCUCUCCGGUUGCCAUUUCCUAAAUGGAUAUUUAGAACACGGAGGAGGAAGCAGUAUUUGCUCUGUCCACUCCACACCUUGACAUGAUGUUGCCGUACUUCCAGGAAGUAUCUGGA
Pseudophryne corroboree (corroboree frog) is the source of this 197-nucleotide small nuclear RNA. RefSeq annotates it as U2 spliceosomal RNA. NCBI's taxonomy places the organism in Eukaryota, Metazoa, Chordata, Amphibia, Anura, Myobatrachidae. The record is from RefSeq and is a predicted model, not a curated record. The transcript has a single exon.